Molecule: ribosomal RNA, 1968 nt
Filed under: Triticum aestivum (bread wheat)
Lineage: Eukaryota; Viridiplantae; Streptophyta; Magnoliopsida; Poales; Poaceae
Description: partial small subunit ribosomal RNA
Source: RNAcentral
AUGGGCGCCGAACUAACUGUUACGGGGUGGUUCUUGUCGCCAAUCAUACGGGAGAUGCAGGACACCGCUUUGGCCUACAUAAAGGGGCAAUUCAGUUGGAAGAAAGAUCAGGAGAAGGACCUUGAACGCCUUGACAUCACCCUGACAGAGAUUCUGACCAUUGUGGAUGUCAUCGAGAAGAGGGAGAUAAAGGAUGGGAACCAGAGGAGGCUGCUAAGCAUACUUAAAGACGCCAUUUACGGCGCUGUCGAUGUGCUGGACGGCUUCCAGUACAUGGUCCUCAAGUCCAAGGUUGAUAGCCAGUCUGCGGAAAAUCACCAUAUAUAUGGUCGAAGAGAUGAGCUUCAUAAGCUGAGAGAUAUGUUGUUUGAGAUAAGCGACAGUAAUGCACCCGGACCCAGUAAUGCACCUGUACCCAGUGGCUCAAGCAUUGAUGUUAUAUCCAUUAUAGGUGUUGGUGGGGUUGGCAAGACUAGCCUUGCACGGUUGGCGUUCGGAGAUGAACAAGUACGCAUGAACUUCGGUCUCAGGAUGUGGGUUUCUGUAUCUGAUACUUAUGGUGAGAUUAGAUUAACAAGGGAUAUUUUGGAGUCUUUAACUGAUGCAAAUUAUCACACUGUUGCUGAAUUUCAUGAAUUGCAGAAUGCUCUUCGUCAAAAGAUAGCUGGAAAGAAAUUUCUCCUCAUACUAGACGAUGUUUGGUAUGACGAGGACAGAACAAAAUGGGAGAAUGAAUUACUAUGGAGCAAAGUGUUGUCUUCUUUGAAUACUGGACUGGAAGGGUCGAAGAUUUUGGUGACAACUCGAGCUGACAAAGCUUGCAGUAUCCUGCAUGCUAGGACACCCCCUUUACGUUUGGGAGGAUUGGACAGAGAUGAUUACUGGUUGCUAUUCAGAAACCAUGCUUUUGGUGAGAAAUACCCAGGACAAUUUCCAGAACUCAAGGAAGUAGGAAUACAAAUUUGUCGCAGAUUGAAUGGUUUGCCUCUAGCAGCAAAGAUAAUCGGUCGCCUAUUGAAUGCUGACUUGGAUGUCAGACACUGGAAGAAAGUUCUGGAUAGUGAUAUAUCUGAUGAUGUUAUGAAGGUUCUAAGGUUGAGUUACCAGCACUUACCUGUCCAAUUGAAGCUAUGCUUUAGCUUCUGCAGCCUUUUCCCGAAGGACUGGCGUUUUGAACCUCAAAGGCUCACUGAAAUGUGGAUUGCACAGGGUUUUGUGCAGAGGGAGGAUUCAUAUGACACUGAUACAAAUAUUGAGGAUGUGGCAAAGGGCUACUUCAAUGAACUUGUGCAAAGAUCAUUCUUUGAGCGGUCAUUGUUGGACCUCCCAACAGAGUAUGUCAUGCAUGAUUUGAUCAAUGACUUGGCUCGGAAUGUCUCGAAGGACGAGUAUGUCAGGGUUGAAAAUGAUAAACAAAAGGAGAUCCCACCAAACAUUCGUCAUCUAUCAAUAUCAGCAAAUUUGUUAGGCAGCAUGAAGAAAACAGAGUUGAGAAAUUUGCGCACCUUGAUUGUUUGGAAGAAAACAUGGUCUUGCUUAAAAUUGUCCCUUCCAGAUGAUGUAUUCAAGAAGUCCAAGAGCAUCCGUGUGCUGGACUUGAGUGGUUGUUGCCUGGAUAGGCUGCCGACAUCAGUGGAAGUUCUUAAACAUCUGCGUUAUUUCGCUUUUCGGGUUCCUCAGAGGCCGUGGCAAACAUCAUUGAUUUGGCUUUAUCACCUGGAGGUCUUGGUCACAAGAGGGCACUCCUGCCGGGAAAGUGAAUGCGCUAACCUUCCUGCAAACAUGAAGAGGAACUUGCUCAAAUUAAGAAAAGCUUUCCUUCUCAAUGUUGGCGGCGCCACGAUAUCUGGUUUCGGGGGACAAACUCUUCUCCGUGGCCACGGGGAGUUCCAUGUCAGGAAGGAGAGUGGCUACAGACUAGGUGAGUUGAAGGAGAUGAAAAAUAUUAGUGGACAGCUAAAAAAUUAG